GUGGGGAAUAUUGGACAAUGGGCGAAAGCCUGAUCCAGCCAUGCCGCGUGUGUGAAGAAGGUCUUCGGAUUGUAAGGCACUUUAAGUUGGGAGGAAGGGCAGUAAGUUAAUACCUUGUUGUUUUGACGUUACCGACAGAAUAAGCACCGGCUAACUUCGUGCCAGCAGCCGCGGUAAUACGAAGGGUGCAAGCGUUAAUCGGAAUUACUGGGCGUAAAGCGCGCGUAGGUGGUUUUGUAAGUUGGAGGUGAAAUCCCCGGGCUCAACCUGGGAACUGCCUCCAAAACUGCAUGACUAGAGUACGGUAGAGGGUAGUGGAAUUUCCUGUGUAGCGGUGAAAUGCGUAGAUAUAGGAAGGAACACCAGUGGCGAAGGCGACUACCUGGACUGAUACUGACACUGAGGUGCGAAAGCGUGGGGAGCAAACAGGAUUAGAUACCCCAGUAGUCC
This 450-nucleotide ribosomal RNA is filed under the name uncultured bacterium. Its description in RNAcentral is "partial 16S ribosomal RNA". It matches the Rfam family "Bacterial small subunit ribosomal RNA", at positions 354 to 796 of the family's 1533-position model. The record is from RNAcentral.